GAUGAACGCUGGCGGCGUGCCUAAUACAUGCAAGUCGAGCGAACAGACGAGGAGCUUGCUCCUCUGACGUUAUCGGCGGACGGGUGAGUAACACGUGGAUAACCUACCUAUAAGACUUGGAUAAUUUCGGGAAACCGGAGCUAAUACCGGAUAAUAUAUUGAACCGCAUGGUUCAAUAGUGAAAGACGGUUUUGCUGUCACUUAUAGAUGGAUCCGCGCCGCAUUAGCUAGUUGGUAAGGUAACGGCGUACCAAGGCAACGAUGCGUAGCCGACCUGAGAGGAUGAUCGGCCACACUGGAACUGAGACACGGUCCAGACGCCUACGGGAGGCAGCAGUAGGGAAUCUUCCGCAAUGGGCGAAAGCAUGACGGAGCAACGCCGCGUGAGUGAUGAAGGUCUUCGGAUCGUAAAACUCUGUUAUUAGGGAAGAACAAAUGUGUAAGUAACUAUGCACGUCUUGACGGUACCUAAUCAGAAAGCCACGGCUAACUACGUG
Molecule: ribosomal RNA, 497 nt
Filed under: uncultured bacterium
Lineage: Bacteria
Description: partial 16S ribosomal RNA
Rfam family: Bacterial small subunit ribosomal RNA
Source: RNAcentral